RNAcentral lists this ribosomal RNA (231 nucleotides) under uncultured bacterium. RNAcentral's name for it is "partial 16S ribosomal RNA". It matches the Rfam family "Bacterial small subunit ribosomal RNA", at positions 118 to 347 of the family's 1533-position model. The record is from RNAcentral.
UGAGCAAUCUGCCCUUCUCAUCGGAAUAAGCGUUGGAAACGACGUCUAAUGCCGAAUACGACCUCCUUUCGCAUGAUCGGAGGUGGAAAGCUCCGGCGGAGAAGGAUGAGCUCGCGGCCUAUCAGCUAGUUGGUGUGGGUAAUGGCCCACCAAGGCGACGACGGGUAGCCGGCCUGAGAGGGUGACCGGCCACACUGGGACUGAGACACGGCCCAGACCUCCGUAGGGAGG